ACUAGCUCCCCGGCUUCACCUCGUGUUUGUUAGCAAGUCCUGUCGGAAAGGGGGGACCGCGGGAGGGUGAGAGAGCUCAGUGUGCGUGUGACAGUGACAGAGAGAGGACGCGUGACUUCAGUGCCUUCCGUCUCCCUCCCCCCCCCACCUCUCUCUCUCUCUCUCUCUCGUGUAGCGCGACCCCAAUUACGAUGAGACACUACCGAGAAAAAUAACCUCAAACCCGCGAGAGAAAGUAGAGAAGGAAAGAAGUGAAAGUUCCGUGGAAAAAGGAACGGGAAAGUGAGAAAAUGAGACAAAAUAAACUACGAGAGGAAAGAAGGAAAAAUAUAAGUGAUUAGAACAAAUAAAAAGAGAGAGGACCUGAAGACUGGACCAUAUAACCACCAGUGUACUCUUACACACACACAUACACACACGCACAAAAAAAAAAAAAAAAAAAAAAAACUGCAGAAAAUAAAAAUGUUUCCCCUAAAAUGAGGCUCCGUCGGUCUUUGGCAGUCCCUCUCCCUGCAUUUGGCGACGAAAAGAACGCUUUAUUUGCCAUCCCUGUCCCUUCCCGACCAUCAUCCCCUGCCAGGGACUCUCGUCACGCCCAUCUCACGCCCCUGGCAAUGCCUGUUCCUCCUUGUCCUUGUGGCGACGCUGUGGCAGGAGGGACCAGGAGCCGAGGAAAGGCGCUAUUGCCCUCUUGAGGUCGU
RNAcentral lists this long non-coding RNA (701 nucleotides) under Penaeus japonicus. Its description in RNAcentral is "uncharacterized LOC122263160". The record is from RNAcentral. Lineage: Eukaryota; Metazoa; Arthropoda; Malacostraca; Decapoda; Penaeidae.